CGUGUAGGCGGUUGGUCAAGUCUGAUGUGAAAGCCCGGGGCUUAGCUCCGGAAGUGCGUCGGAAACUAGCCAGCUGGAGCGCGAUAGAGGAGGGCGGAAUUCCUGGUGUAGCGGUGAAAUGCGUAGAUAUCAGGAGGAACACCGGCGGCGAAGGCGGCCCUCUGGAUCGUUGCUGACGCUGAGACGCGAAAGCGUGGGGAGCAAACAGGAUUAGAUACCCUGGUAGUCCACGCUGUAAACUAUGGGUACUAGGUGUUCGGGGUAUUGACCCCCUGAGUGCCGCAGCUAACGCAUUAAGUACCCCGCCUGGGGACUACGGCCGCAAGGUUAAA
RNAcentral lists this ribosomal RNA (332 nucleotides) under uncultured bacterium. Its description in RNAcentral is "bacterial SSU rRNA". It matches the Rfam family "Bacterial small subunit ribosomal RNA", at positions 568 to 898 of the family's 1533-position model. The record is from RNAcentral.